This is a long non-coding RNA of Lytechinus variegatus (green sea urchin), 365 nucleotides long. RefSeq lists it as uncharacterized. The transcript is spliced from 3 exons. Lineage: Eukaryota; Metazoa; Echinodermata; Echinoidea; Temnopleuroida; Toxopneustidae. The record is from RefSeq and is a predicted model, not a curated record.
CUUCAGUACACAAGGCAUGAGUAGGCUGCACAUUCAGACCCAUAACUCGAGUGAAGGGUUUGCACAGCAGACUACCGGAUACCUGUUCUUGCAAAGGUAUCAAAAGAACGACUCUCAAUGUCUUGCUGAAAGGAAACGCAAGUUUAUAAGAUAGGCUCAGAAAUCAUUAGUAUGGAUUGGAGAGAUGAGUGAUUUCUAGAGAGCUGUCAUCAUCAAGUUCAUUAACUGUUUGUGUGGUGUUUAAUAGGAUGAAUUGGACAGACUACCUAAGCACGAGUGAAAAGCUAGCGACCUAUGACGUGUGAAAACUAACAAUAGAGGCUUGUGGGAGUCAUCGUGCAACUCACACUUAUUCAUUCUAUUUC